AGCCGUCCAUGUGAGACAGGAUGAGGAAGUCCGGUGUGAUUCCGGCGCGGUACCGCCACUGUGAACGCAGCCCCUCGGGUGCUCGUGAGCCAGACCUUCGCCUCGUCUUGAGUUUUCCUGCCGGGGCGGAACUCCCCGAGAAGGGUUGAU
This 150-nucleotide small RNA is filed under the name Mycolicibacterium diernhoferi. The record is from RNAcentral. Lineage: Bacteria; Bacillati; Actinomycetota; Actinomycetes; Mycobacteriales; Mycobacteriaceae.